UUGGGCAGGGGGAAGUCCAUGCAGACAAACCAAUGGGUUUGCUAGUUUUCUGAAUCUACGCCAAGGUGGGAUCUCUCUUCCCUCCAACUGUCCAAGAAAACCAAAGCACUGGGCUGAGGACAAGCCAAAAAGCUGCAGGUCCUCUGAAGUGAUGCUGGAGAAAUGUUCUUCCUCAUCAGAAGCAUCCCAGGACAGCUUUGAAUGGCGAAGCAGAAGAGCAAGCAGGGCAUGGCCACAUCCUUCCCUGAUGCCCUCUCCUCCUCCCGUGGGUGCAAUGUUACUGCUGUCAGCACGUCCUUCACUUCUGAUGCUAUCUGCCACAGAUUGUCCUUCAGGUGCUGUAUGGCAGGGACAUGUCCCCUGGGGAAGACCGCACACGAGGUGUGGGAGUUGGCUCUGUGGUCCGGAUCUCAACCUGAAUGAUGCUGGAGAAGAGACCUCAGAACCACUGUCAGCACCUGCACCACGGGUCAGUUGGGACCUGUUGGGUCCCUGCCAGAUUCAAUUUUGGACCUGUGAAUUGUGGCACCCCUCCUGAGCCCUCUGAGGCACAGGGAAAGCGAGGAUCGCCGCAGCAAGCGGGCAUUCACCAGGAAAACUCUUAUGUACUUACUAUGUAAGUCAAGAGUAUUUACAGGAGAUCUUGCUGCCUGUAACUUAAAGCUUUAGCGAAACAAAUUGGAAUUGCCUUCUGGAGGCCAUUGUUAUAAAUUACAGCCCCAACAUCUGUCCACAUCUGCAGCGUCUAGACAACCCGUCUCGGGGAGGGGAGCGGGCGGGGGGCCGCGAGCGCAGUGGGGAGGGGGGCACAGGAUGGUGCUGGGGCCGUGCUGGGCACCCACCUCGAGCUGUCCCCUGGCCUUAAAGCACAGCCGGGUCUGCCCCAGCCACGAGGGACACCCAGAGCAUCUGUGCUCGGGGCGGGAGCCACGCCUGCCUUCCCCCACUGCAGCCCACGGCUUGACACCAGCAACAAAUUUGGCCUUUGGAAGCCUCGACCGCCGUGGCCUUAUUUAUUGCACGUUGGAGGAUGCGAGGGGAGGCAGCGCCUCCAGGCAGCCUUCUUCUGUCUUCCCCGGGCCCCUGUGCAGCGCUUGCGAUAAAGAGGCCGGGCCCGUCAGCUGAGCGAUUGUAUUUUUUUUACAGUUCCUAGCGCAAACCUUCUCAUUUAUAUGUAAAGUAGCCAUUAGUCAUAGCUCUGUUCCCUCACACUGCCUGAUGUACAAUCACAUUUUGCAGUGGAUGAAUCUUUCCACACAGCUGCUCUGCUAUGAAUAAUCCGUUGCCGGGCCCAUAAAUCAGAAAAAAAUCAUGCACCUCCUUUGCCUGAUCCUUACACAAAGUCAUAUAUUUUACAUGAGGACAAGCUAAAUAUUCAUGAGGCU
Molecule: long non-coding RNA, 1385 nt
Filed under: Anas platyrhynchos platyrhynchos (common mallard)
Lineage: Eukaryota; Metazoa; Chordata; Aves; Anseriformes; Anatidae
Description: lncRNA (ENSAPLG00000017545.1)
Source: RNAcentral